CCCGAUCGAACACCUCCUUAGUUUUUGAUAAAAAAUAAGCACUAUAUUCCGUGUGGAUUUCUUGCAGAAUUGAUCUAUUCUUAAGAGAGUAUAUUUGAAAAAUCCAAGAUCAUAUCCAACAAGACUAGUCGAAAGAUAUUAUUUAGAUUUUUUGAUUCUUUAUAAGUACCCAAGAUCGUCUCAUGAAGAACCGAUGUAGGACUAGAUACAUAUUUGUAUGGGUCCUCACAUACUCCCCCCAUUUAAGUUUUGACAUCAUUAAUUAUCAAGCUAAGGGUACAAAUCUAUGCAUCCAUUUAUAAAUACCAC
RNAcentral lists this long non-coding RNA (309 nucleotides) under Elaeis guineensis (African oil palm). RNAcentral's name for it is "long non-coding RNA (EGUI_LNC077238)". Lineage: Eukaryota; Viridiplantae; Streptophyta; Magnoliopsida; Arecales; Arecaceae. The record is from RNAcentral.